UACGUAGGGGGCAAGCGUUGUCCGGAAUUAUUGGGCGUAAAGAGCUCGUAGGCGGUUUGUUGCGUCGGCUGUGAAAUCCCGAGGCUCAACCUCGGGUCUGCAGUCGAUACGAGCAAACUAGAGUGUUGCAGGGGAGACUGGAAUUCCUGGUGUAGCGGUGAAAUGCGCAGAUAUCAGGAGGAACACCGGUGGCGAAGGCGGGUCUCUGGGCAACAACUGACGCUGAGGAGCGAAAGCGUGGGGAGCAAACAGG
RNAcentral lists this ribosomal RNA (253 nucleotides) under uncultured bacterium. RNAcentral's name for it is "partial 16S ribosomal RNA". It matches the Rfam family "Bacterial small subunit ribosomal RNA", at positions 524 to 776 of the family's 1533-position model. The record is from RNAcentral.